RNAcentral lists this ribosomal RNA (495 nucleotides) under uncultured bacterium. RNAcentral describes it as "partial 16S ribosomal RNA". It matches the Rfam family "Bacterial small subunit ribosomal RNA", at positions 28 to 507 of the family's 1533-position model. The record is from RNAcentral.
GAUGAACGCUGGCGGCGUGCCUAAUACAUGCAAGUAGAACGCUGAAGGAGGAGCUUGCUCUUCUGGAUGAGUUGCGAACGGGUGAGUAACGCGUAGGUAACCUGCCUGGUAGCGGGGGAUAACUAUUGGAAACGAUAGCUAAUACCGCAUGACAACAGUUAUUGCAUGAUAACUGUUUAAAAGGGGCAACUGCUCCACUACCAGAUGGACCUGCGUUGUAUUAGCUAGUUGGUGAGGUAACGGCUCACCAAGGCGACGAUACAUAGCCGACCUGAGAGGGUGAUCGGCCACACUGGGACUGAGACACGGCCCAGACUCCUACGGGAGGCAGCAGUAGGGAAGCUUCGGCAAUGGACGGAAGUCUGACCGAGCAACGCCGCGUGAGUGAAGAAGGUUUUCGGAUCGUAAAGCUCGGUUGUAAGAGAAGAACGAGUGUGAGAGUGGAAAGUUCACACUGUGACGGUAUCUUACCAGAAAGGGACGGCUAACUACGUG